GAUGAAGAACGUAGCGAAAUGCGAUAAGUAAUGUGAAUUGCAGAAUUCAGUGAAUCAUCGAAUCUUUGAACGCACCUUGCGCUCCUUGGUAUUCCGAGGAGCAUGCCUGUUUGAGUGUCAUUAAAUUCUCAACCAUUAUCAACUUUUGCUGAUAAUGGCUUGGAUGUGGGGGUCUAUUUUGCUGGCUUCUCAGAUAGUCAGCUCCCCUUAAAUGCAUUAGCCGGUGCCCCGCGUGGACUGUCUAUUGGUGUGAUAAUUAUCUACGCUAUAGACAUCUGCAAUCAUAUGGGUUUGCGCUGCUUCUAACAGUCUGUUGAUUCAGACAAUACAUGACAAUUUGACCUCAAAUCAGGAAGGACUACCCGCUGAACUUAAGCAUAUCAAUAAGCGGAGGA
Molecule: unclassified non-coding RNA, 395 nt
Filed under: soil metagenome
Description: partial contains 5.8S ribosomal RNA, internal transcribed spacer 2, and large subunit ribosomal RNA
Rfam family: 5.8S ribosomal RNA (bases 1-120)
Source: RNAcentral